RNAcentral lists this ribosomal RNA (301 nucleotides) under uncultured bacterium. RNAcentral describes it as "partial 16S ribosomal RNA". It matches the Rfam family "Bacterial small subunit ribosomal RNA", at positions 509 to 807 of the family's 1533-position model. The record is from RNAcentral.
CAGCAGCCGCGGUAAUACGUAGGUGGCAAGCGUUGUCCGGAAUUAUUGGGCGUAAAGGGCUCGCAGGCGGUUUCUUAAGUCUGAUGUGAAAGCCCCCGGCUCAACCGGGGAGGGUCAUUGGAAACUGGGAAACUUGAGCGCGGAAGAGGAGAGUGGAAUUCCACGUGUAGCGGUGAAAUGCGUAGAGAUGUGGAGGAACACCAGUGGCGAAGGCGGCUCACUGGCUCGGUACUGACGCUGAGGUGCGAAAGCGUGGGGAGCAAACAGGAUUAGAUACCCCUGUAGUCCCUGUCUCUUAUAC